ACAGCGGCGGACGGGUUAGUAACGCGUGGGAACGUGCCCUUUAGUACGGAAUAGCCAUUGGAAACGAUGAUUAAUACCGUAUACGCCCUAUGGGGGAAAGAUUUAUCGCUAAAGGAUCGGCCCGCGUUAGAUUAGGUUGUUGGUGGGGUAAUGGCCUACCAAGCCUACGAUCUAUAGCUGGUUUGAGAGGAUGAUCAGCAACACUGGGACUGAGACACGGCCCAGACUUCUACGGAAGGCAGCAGUAGGGAAUCUUGGACAAUGGGCGAAAGCCUGAUCCAGCCAUGCCGCGUGAGUGAUGAAGGCCCUAGGGUUGUAAAGCUCUUUCGCCAGGGAAGAUAAUGACGGUACCUGGUAAAGAAACCCCGGCUAACUCCGUGCCAGCAGCCGCGGUAAUACGGAGGGGGUUAGCGUUGUUCGGAAUUACUGGGCGUAAAGCGCACGUAGGCGGAUUAAUAAGUCAGGGGUGAAAUCCCGAGGCUCAACCUCGGAACUGCCUUUGAUACUGUUAAUCUUGAGUUCGAGAGAGGUGAGUGGAAUUCCGAGUGUAGAGGUGAAAUUCGUAGAUAUUCGGAGGAACACCAGUGGCGAAGGCGGCUCACUGGCUCGAUACUGACGCUGAGGUGCGAAAGCGUGGGGAGCAAACAGGA
RNAcentral lists this ribosomal RNA (650 nucleotides) under uncultured marine bacterium. RNAcentral describes it as "bacterial SSU rRNA". It matches the Rfam family "Bacterial small subunit ribosomal RNA", at positions 92 to 777 of the family's 1533-position model. The record is from RNAcentral.